This 639-nucleotide ribosomal RNA is filed under the name uncultured bacterium. Its description in RNAcentral is "bacterial SSU rRNA". It matches the Rfam family "Bacterial small subunit ribosomal RNA", at positions 544 to 1179 of the family's 1533-position model. The record is from RNAcentral.
UCCGGAUUUAUUGGGCGUAAAGGGCUCGUAGGCGGCUCGUCGCGUCCGGUGUGAAAGUCCAUCGCUUAACGGUGGAUCUGCGCCGGGUACGGGCGGGCUGGAGUGCGGUAGGGGAGACUGGAAUUCCCGGUGUAACGGUGGAAUGUGUAGAUAUCGGGAAGAACACCGAUGGCGAAGGCAGGUCUCUGGGCCGUCACUGACGCUGAGGAGCGAAAGCGUGGGGAGCGAACAGGAUUAGAUACCCUGGUAGUCCACGCCGUAAACGGUGGACGCUGGAUGUGGGGCACGUUCCACGUGUUCCGUGUCGGAGCUAACGCGUUAAGCGUCCCGCCUGGGGAGUACGGCCGCAAGGCUAAAACUCAAAGAAAUUGACGGGGGCCCGCACAAGCGGCGGAGCAUGCGGAUUAAUUCGAUGCAACGCGAAGAACCUUACCUGGGCUUGACAUGUUCCCGACGACGCCAGAGAUGGCGUUUCCCUUCGGGGCGGGUUCACAGGUGGUGCAUGGUCGUCGUCAGCUCGUGUCGUGAGAUGUUGGGUUAAGUCCCGCAACGAGCGCAACCCUCGCCCCGUGUUGCCACCACGUUAUGGUGGGAACUCACGGGGGACCGCCGGGGGUUAACUCGGAAGGAAGGUGGGGA